CAGUAGCCGCGGUAAUACGUAGGUCCCGAGCGUUGUCCGGAUUUAUUGGGCGUAAAGCGAGCGCAGGCGGCUAGAUAAGUCUGAAGUUAAAGGCUGUGGCUUAACCAUAGUACGCUUUGGAAACUGUUUAACUUGAGUGCAAGAGGGGAGAGUGGAAUUCCAUGUGUAGCGGUGAAAUGCGUAGAUAUACGGAGGAACACCGGUGGCGAAAGCGGCUCUCUGGCUUGUAACUGACGCUGAGGCUCGAAAGCGUGGGGAGCAAACAGGAUUAGAUACCCCCGUAGCCUGUCUCUUAUACACA
This 301-nucleotide ribosomal RNA is filed under the name uncultured bacterium. RNAcentral describes it as "partial 16S ribosomal RNA". It matches the Rfam family "Bacterial small subunit ribosomal RNA", at positions 509 to 810 of the family's 1533-position model. The record is from RNAcentral.